Populus nigra (black poplar) is the source of this 786-nucleotide long non-coding RNA. RefSeq lists it as uncharacterized. Lineage: Eukaryota; Viridiplantae; Streptophyta; Magnoliopsida; Malpighiales; Salicaceae. The record is from RefSeq and is a predicted model, not a curated record. The transcript has 2 exons.
CAUCUUUUCUUUUUUUUUUUCCAAUUAUUAAAGUUGUGCAAACCUAGCUAGCAUCAAUUAACAGGAUAAGUGAUAAAUUCUUGAAUAUAAUAAAUUCUAGCCUCCAUGGUCCAAAACCUCUACUCUCACUCCAUGGCAAUUAUUCAGCACUAAGCUGAUAGGACCUUAAAAACAUAUUCCCCUGCUCUCUCUCUUUUUUUCUUUUUAAUGCAUAAUUUACUUGGCAUAAACUAAAUUAUAUGUAGCUAACUUAAGCAUUAGAUUGCAAGGCUACACUUUUUAAAAAAAUAUAUAUCAAUUUAAUUCUUCUUUUCUCUCUCUUUCUUUUUUUUUUAAGAGAGAGAGAAAUCUAUCAAAGAGCUUCUUCUUCACUCGGGCGACAUUUCUACGCAACAUUCCUUUUAAAGCUCAAACAAAACAAAAGCAUGGAACACCAAAACAGUAGCAGUUUCUGCACAGUAGUUUUGAUUUGGAAAGAGAGAGGGAGAAUUUGUGACGAGCGAACAAGAAGAAGAAAAAAGCGGUUGAUUGUGGUGGUGGUGGAGAGUAAAAGAAGCCUCUAAAUCAGGGCCACCGUCGCUAAGAAAAAAAGAGGGCUCUCCGUUCCUGCUAUUGUGCGCUUUCGGUGAUAUUUGUUUUGUGUUUCCCGGUGUUCCCUUUUAUGGGCUGGGCCUUUGUUUUUAAUAUUUGGACUCUUAUACAGAAGGCCAACUGUGGGCUGAUCUGUAUUUCUGUAUUAGGCCAAAAGCAGAUAAAAGAAAUAUGGCAAUUUUUACUCUGCUAAAA